Non-coding RNA from Pseudomonas syringae, 50 nucleotides. Lineage: Bacteria; Pseudomonadati; Pseudomonadota; Gammaproteobacteria; Pseudomonadales; Pseudomonadaceae. The record is from Rfam.
AUACCGGCCUGUCACGCCGGGGGUCGCGGGUUCGAGUCCCGUCCGCUGCG